CGGGGCUAAUACCGAAUGAUAGAAUGUGGCGCAUGCCACGCUUUUGAAAGAUGGUUUCGGCUAUCGCUUACAGAUGGGCCCGCGGUGCAUUAGCUAGUUGGUAGGGUAAUGGCCUACCAAGGCAACGAUGCAUAGCCGACCUGAGAGGGUGAUCGGCCACACUGGGACUGAGACACGGCCCAGACUCCUACGGGAGGCAGCAGUAGGGAAUCUUCCGCAAUGGACGAAAGUCUGACGGAGCAACGCCGCGUGUAUGAAGAAGGUUUUCGGAUCGUAAAGUACUGUUGUUAGAGAAGAACAAGGAUAAGAGUAACUGCUUGUCCCUUGACGGUAUCUAACCAGAAAGCCACGGCUAACUACGUGCCAGCAGCCGCGGUAAUACGUAGGUGGCAAGCGUUGUCCGGAUUUAUUGGGCGUAAAGCGCGCGCAGGCGGUCUUUUAAGUCUGAUGUGAAAGCCCCCGGCUUAACCGGGGAGGGUCAUUGGAAACUGGAAGACUGGAGUGCAGAAGAGGAGAGUGGAAUUCCACGUGUAGCGGUGAAAUGCGUAGAUAUGUGGAGGAACACCAGUGGCGAAGGCGACUCUCUGGUCUGUAACUGACGCUGAGGCGCGAAAGCGUGGGGAGCAAACAGGAUU
Molecule: ribosomal RNA, 635 nt
Filed under: Listeria monocytogenes
Lineage: Bacteria; Bacillati; Bacillota; Bacilli; Caryophanales; Listeriaceae
Description: bacterial SSU rRNA
Rfam family: Bacterial small subunit ribosomal RNA
Source: RNAcentral